ACGUGUGAUGUAAAUUUACAACACCGUACUGUCUCCCAUAAUUUUUUUUUGGCAGGGACCGUUUCUUACUCGGGGUCGUGGGUUUGGGAGCUAGCCCACUGCCCAGCCGCACCUCCUUUUCCUCUUGGGUUCCUAAUGGAGUGCGUCGACGGUGAGCGGUUGGGGAAUCGAAGUUUGCACAGCGGCGAGAGGAUGCGCGGACGGCGGCGAGAGGUGGGCGGGCUCAGUAGCGAAGUGAGCGACGGCUGCGCUGACCCUGUCCUAGAUAGCGUCGGCGGCGGCAGCAGGUGAAAUCAGCAGCCUUGUGGUCGGUCGUCCGAAGCGGCUGUUGGAUGGCAGCAGGUGAAAUGGCGGUUUGGUGUGAUUGGCUUCAACAGAACCGAUUCCCAUUGGAGUGGAAGGGGACGAGCGGCUGUUGGAUGGCGGCAACUGGUGACUUCGGCAGCCUCACCCUCGGAUUAGCCCAAGACUGAAUUUUUUUUCAGCAAUGAUGUGGGGAUCUGUCCGCUAGGUUUCAUGUCAUCUCGGGGCAAUGCUGCCAUUGCAGUGUGGCGGUGUCAGCAGCCUGGUUCGUCCACGCGGUGGGUGGUGGCUGAGGGUAGCCUCGGCAUUGGCACAUCGGGUGGUUCCUGCGGGAUGCAUCAUGGUGAGCAGCAGGCCCCCUGAGCCGUGUUGUGGGUCGAUUCAUGGCCAGCGCACCCAUGGGCUUCAACGUAAGGCCAAUGGUUUUGAGCCACUCAAAGAAAUUGUCCAGGUCGAGGAAAUCACAGAACAAGGUUGUUCCUUGCGCUAACCCAACGACCGAAGAGCAGCAGGAGAGAUAAACAUUGAGUUCCAAACUGCUUUAUCCUUUCAAGUUCCACCGAAGAAAGAAAUAAAGAUGAACCAACAUAGCUCUCGUGCGUCAUCUUACUUGAUUUGAAUGAAACCAGGCCUUUUACCUGAAUCUUUGGAGAAGUUCAGACCCAUGAAAAUCCAUAUAAAAAAAAACUAGAUUUGAAGCUCCCCUUGUGCAUACUCUCCCUAAAGCAAACUGCGCUUAUGUAUAUAGCUGAAUAUCUUUAUUGUGGUGUCCUGUCCAUGUAAUGUUCUUGCUUAUGAAAGCUUCCUUCUAUUAGCGUCAUCUACCAGAUCAUAUCCGGAAUUGUUGUACCGCAAGAAUGAUCCAUGCCACGCACGUGACAUUUUUUAAUCCACAUUUUUUUA
This is a long non-coding RNA of Lolium perenne, 1206 nucleotides long. RefSeq lists it as uncharacterized. NCBI's taxonomy places the organism in Eukaryota, Viridiplantae, Streptophyta, Magnoliopsida, Poales, Poaceae. The record is from RefSeq and is a predicted model, not a curated record.